This 69-nucleotide transfer RNA is filed under the name marine eukaryotic metagenome. It matches the Rfam family "tRNA". From Rfam's summary of the family: Transfer RNA (tRNA) molecules are approximately 80 nucleotides in length. Their secondary structure includes four short double-helical elements and three loops (D, anti-codon, and T loops). The record is from RNAcentral.
UUCGUAGCUCAGUUGGUCAGAGCGCUGCGUUCACAUCGCAGAGGCCGCAGGUUCAAGUCCUGCCGGACC